UCUGCCCGCCUUGGGGUACCCCUAGCGGCCCGAGGCGAACCAUGGGGUCGAACCAGGGACGCCAGGGUUCCCGGGGCCCAGUGCAAGGGCUGAUAGGAAGACACUUUCGUCCGUGGGGGACCCAGGCACCGCUUCUCCGCGGCGCAGUUUUUUUUUUCUUUUGGCUGCCCCAGGUACCUCACCUUCCCCUCAUGAGCCAUCUGCCUGCUUUGGGGUACCCCUAGUGGACCGAGGCGCACCCUCGGCUCGAAUCAGGGUCGUCAGGGUCCCCGGGGCGCAGCGCAAGGGCUGAUGGGAAGACACUUUCGUCCGUGGCGGACCCAGGCCCCGCUUCUCUGCGGUGCGGUUUUUUUUUUUUUUUUUUUUUUUUGUCUGCCACAGGUGCC
Molecule: long non-coding RNA, 386 nt
Filed under: Homo sapiens (human)
Lineage: Eukaryota; Metazoa; Chordata; Mammalia; Primates; Hominidae
Description: long non-coding RNA NONHSAT131721.2
Source: RNAcentral